AAAAUUAGUUCAGCCGCACCUGAGACAGUGGAUUUAGUUUUCUAGGAAACAAAAUUCAAACCGUCCCACCACGAGCAUCCAGGUAUUUAUAAUAUAUAAAAUUCAUCGUGAAAAGCAAACUAGUUUGUUUGGAAACAAGCGUAACCCAUAAUGAUAAGUUUUAAUUAGUUAUUGAAAGUGUUGGGCAUGGGUCAACCUGGACCCUAGUUUAGUUCAACUCAAACUUCGUCUUCCUACAGCAGAACUCUUCCGAGCAAAAAUCUUUUCCUGGAAACAUUCUAAGUCAUCGGCCGUUUUAGAUUAAAGUUGUGCAACUGUAAUUUAAAAAUUAUAAUAUUAAAAUAUUUAAUAAAUAAAUUAUUAUUAUUUAUUUUAUAAUUAUUAUUUUUUUCACAACAACUGUAUUUAAAAAAUUACAGUACCUUAAUACCAAACAAAACCUAAAUACAAGGGGUAAAGAAGACUUUCGGCAUCGGAUAAUGGACAAUGCUUACCAUCCUGCCUGCAGUGUAUGAGAUGAUGAGAACCGCAAAUUUAUUGCCGGGCCAUCGCUGUCUUCAAAAACUGCAAGCCCCCAGGAUAUUGGCAUGUAUGAAAGUUUUUGUUUUUUUGGAUGGGGGCAUGUAUGAAAGUUUGCUUCUUGUGCCUUCUUGUGGGUUAGCAAAGCGCAUUAUGUUUUCAGGGCAAAUUCACCAAUGCCGCAGUUCGCAGAACAACUACAGUCUUGCCAUUUUUCCUGGACCUCACUCUUCACCUCCUCUCCGAUGAAUCUUCUACAUUUUCCAGUAGAAAAAGAGAACUCGGUGUCCGUGAAAUCGAAGAUUUAUAAACGCCAUAUCGUCUAAAUGAAAAUUUGUUUGACGACAUGCCAUCUCUAGUAAAAACAUUAGACGACUAGUCACGAACGGCAUGCGUCUGACCAUACAAUUCAUGACUAGUCGUCCAUGUAUAAUUUUUAAGACGGCAAGUCGUGUCUGAGAAAAGUGAUCAGACGACAUGUCCCUCAAAUACGUUUAUUAAAUUCAAAAUGUACAUACAAAAAGUCAUUAUUUGGGAUUGAGGUUGAAUGGAUAUAACUUAAAAGUAACAAUAUUAAAGUGUUCG
This 1104-nucleotide long non-coding RNA is filed under the name Citrus sinensis (sweet orange). Its description in RNAcentral is "long non-coding RNA (CSIN_LNC000372)". The record is from RNAcentral. Lineage: Eukaryota; Viridiplantae; Streptophyta; Magnoliopsida; Sapindales; Rutaceae.